RNAcentral lists this ribosomal RNA (654 nucleotides) under Alexandrium tamarense. RNAcentral describes it as "eukaryotic LSU rRNA". It matches the Rfam family "Eukaryotic large subunit ribosomal RNA", at positions 55 to 651 of the family's 3401-position model. Lineage: Eukaryota; Dinophyceae; Gonyaulacales; Pyrocystaceae. The record is from RNAcentral.
GGAAAUUAAACCAAAUGGGAUAUCUUUAGUAAUUGCGAAUGAACAAGGAUAUGCUUAGCUUGACAAAUGGAGCUAUUGGCUUUGAAUUGUAUUGUGGAAAUGUAUUACCAACAGAGGUGCAGGUGCCAGCCUAUUGAAAUAAAGCGUCAAUGAGGGUGAGAAUCCUGUUUGUCAUGUGCAGCCCUUUGUGCACGGUGUAUAUUUGCUGAGUCACACUCCUUGGCAUUGGAAUGCAAAGUGGGUGGUAAGUUUCAUGUAAAGGUAAACAUGCAAUUGAGACUGAUAGCACACAAGUACCAUGAGGGAAAUAUGAAAAGGACUUUGAAAAGAGAUUUAAUUGACUUUGUAUUUGCUGAACACAAAGUAAACAGACUUGAUUUGCUUGGUGGGAGUGUUGCACUUGCUUGACAAGAGCUUUGGGCUGUGGGUGUAAUGAUUCUUUCUUUGCAUGCCAGUUUCUAUUUGUACAUCUGAUUACCUUUGCACAUGAAUGAUAAGUCUCCUGUGGGGGGUGGAUUGCAUGUGCAUGUAAUGAUUUGUGUUUUGAUAAAUGUGUCUGGUGUAUGUGUGUGUUCCUGUGCUUGGGGAUGCUUCCUUCCUUGGACUUACAAGCCCUGACACACACAUGCUGGCAAAAUGCUUCUGCUUGACCCG